AACGAACGCUGGCGGCAUGCCUAACACAUGCAAGUCGAACGAGACCUUCGGGUCUAGUGGCGCACGGGUGCGUAACGCGUGGGAACCUGCCCUUAGGUUCGGAAUAACUCCCCGAAAGGGGUGCUAAUACCGGAUAAUGUCUUCGGACCAAAGAUUUAUCGCCUUUGGAUGGGCCCGCGUUGGAUUAGCUAGUUGGUAGGGUAAAAGCCUACCAAGGCGACGAUCCAUAGCUGGUCUGAGAGGAUGAUCAGCCACACUGGGACUGAGACACGGCCCAGACUCCUACGGGAGGCAGCAGUGGGGAAUAUUGGACAAUGGGCGAGAGCCUGAUCCAGCAAUGCCGCGUGAGUGAUGAAGGCCUUAGGGUUGUAAAGCUCUUUUACCCGGGAUGAUAAUGACAGUACCGGGAGAAUAAGCUCCGGCUAACUCCGU
RNAcentral lists this ribosomal RNA (432 nucleotides) under uncultured bacterium. RNAcentral describes it as "partial 16S ribosomal RNA". It matches the Rfam family "Bacterial small subunit ribosomal RNA", at positions 29 to 506 of the family's 1533-position model. The record is from RNAcentral.